CAGCCGCCGCGGUAAUACGAGGGGUGCAAGCGUUAUUCGGAUUGAUUGGGUGUAAAGGGUGUGCAGACGGCUUAUUAAGUCACUUGUUAAAUUCUUCGGCCUAACUGAAGGUCUGCAAGUGAUACUGAUGAGCUAGAGGGUGGAAGAGAGAAGUGGAAUUCUCGGAGUAGCGGUAAAAUGCGUAGAUCUCGAGGGGAACACCAAUGGCGAAGGCAGCUUCUUGGUCCAUUCCUGACGUUCAUACACGAAAGCGUGGGGAGCAAACAGGAUUAGAUACCCCCGUAGUCCCUGUCUCUUAUAC
This 301-nucleotide ribosomal RNA is filed under the name uncultured bacterium. RNAcentral's name for it is "partial 16S ribosomal RNA". It matches the Rfam family "Bacterial small subunit ribosomal RNA", at positions 509 to 807 of the family's 1533-position model. The record is from RNAcentral.